GCAUCGGUGGUUCAGUGGUAGAAUGCUCGCCUGCCAGCCGGGUUCGAUUCCCGGCCGAUGCA
Molecule: transfer RNA, 62 nt
Filed under: Cordylochernes scorpioides
Lineage: Eukaryota; Metazoa; Arthropoda; Arachnida; Pseudoscorpiones; Chernetidae
Description: tRNA-OTHER
Rfam family: tRNA
About the family: Transfer RNA (tRNA) molecules are approximately 80 nucleotides in length. Their secondary structure includes four short double-helical elements and three loops (D, anti-codon, and T loops). Further hydrogen bonds mediate the characteristic L-shaped molecular structure. tRNAs have two regions of fundamental functional importance: the anti-codon, which is responsible for specific mRNA codon recognition, and the 3' end, to which the tRNAs corresponding amino acid is attached (by aminoacyl-tRNA synthetases). tRNAs cope with the degeneracy of the genetic code in two manners: having more than one tRNA (with a specific anti-codon) for a particular amino acid; and 'wobble' base-pairing, i.e. permitting non-standard base-pairing at the 3rd anti-codon position.
Source: RNAcentral